GUCGAGCGAAUUUGAUGGGAGCUUGCUCCCUGAUAGAUAACGGCGGACGGGUGAGUAACCCGUGGGUAACCUGGCUGGAAGAAUGGGAUAACUCCCGGAAACCNGGGCUAAAACCGGAUAACUUUUUUCCUCCCAUGGAGGGAAAUUGAAAGGGGGCUUUUAGCUACCACUUACAAAUGGACCCGCGGCGCAUUACCUAGUUGGGGAGGUAACGGCUCACCAAGGCGACAAUGCGUACCCAACUUGAAAGGGGGAUCGGCCACCCUGGGACUGAAACCCGGCCCAAACUCCUACGGGAGGCAGCAGUAGGGAAUCUUCCGCAAGGGACAAAAGUCUGACGGACCACCGCCGCGGGAGUGAUGAAGGUUUUCGGAUCGUAAAACUCUGUUGUUAGGGAAAAACAAGUAUCGUUCGAAUAGGGCGGUACCUUGACGGUACCUAACCAAAAAGCCCCGGCUAAUAACGUGCCACCACCCGCGGUAAUACUUAGGGGGCAAGCGUUGUCCGGAAUUAUUGGGCGUAAAGCGCGCGCAGGCGGUUUCUUAAUUCUGAUGUGAAAGCCCACGGCUCACCCGUGAAGGGUCAUUGGAAACUGGAAGACUUGAGUGCAAAAAAGAAGAGCGGAUUUCCACGUGUAGCGGUGAAAUGCGUAGAGAUGUGGAGGAACACCAUUGGCGAAGGCGGCUCUUUGGUCUGUAACUGACCGCUGAGGCGCGAAAGGCGUGGGGAAGCGAACAGGAUUAGAUACCCUGGUAGUCCACGCCGUAAACGAUGAGUGCUAAGUGUUAGAGGGUUUCUGCCCUUUAGUGCUGCAGCUAACGCAUUAAGCACUCCGCCUGGGGAGUACGGCCGCAAGGCUGAAACUCAAAGGAAUUGACGGGG
This 882-nucleotide ribosomal RNA is filed under the name Bacillus sp. B238F. RNAcentral describes it as "bacterial SSU rRNA". It matches the Rfam family "Bacterial small subunit ribosomal RNA", at positions 61 to 918 of the family's 1533-position model. The record is from RNAcentral. Lineage: Bacteria; Bacillati; Bacillota; Bacilli; Caryophanales; Bacillaceae.